Molecule: long non-coding RNA, 546 nt
Organism: Culex quinquefasciatus (southern house mosquito)
Lineage: Eukaryota; Metazoa; Arthropoda; Insecta; Diptera; Culicidae
Exons: 2
Source: RefSeq, a predicted model, not a curated record
GGUGUGAGAUGUAAACAAAGCAUGAAGAAAUAACUUGGAGCUUUGGUAAGUAGCAGUUGCUAGUUACAUUUGUUUAAACAUUUUAUUUGAUUACAGAUGCUUCCGCGCAAAGUGAUAACGAAGGUCAAACAAUGAAGGUUUCAUUAAUGAGACAAGGAGCCGGAACAAGACAAAUGCGAGCUGGCGAUAGAGCGUUGCUGUUGAUUUUUCUUAUCUUUGCAAACGCGUGCUUGUUGACGCUUGAUAGCAACGCCAUGUCGCAGAUAUCGUACAAGGUGCAAUCAGUUGAAUUCGGUUAGUUCUUCGAAGCAGUUGGAGCAGAAUAUGCAAUUCUUUAAAAACGGAGAAGUUAUCUAUUGUGAUAAUGUCUCUGUUCAUUCUUCCGUUAGGUGGCAAUUCCUUGAUUCUUUGCAUUACGAUAAAGCGCUUUACAACAGUAAUGUAUUAACACAAGAUGGUCAAAGUCACAACUAAAAAAGAUAAACACGUUCUUUUUGCAAAGGGUGAAUUCUGAAUAAAAGUGUUGUUCAACACUUUAAAUACAAA